Daphnia carinata is the source of this 1589-nucleotide long non-coding RNA. RefSeq lists it as uncharacterized. Lineage: Eukaryota; Metazoa; Arthropoda; Branchiopoda; Diplostraca; Daphniidae. The transcript is spliced from 5 exons. The record is from RefSeq and is a predicted model, not a curated record.
AUUUUGCAAGCCGAAAGAAUCGGAGUUCUACCAGAGGGAAAUUGGCCAACUUAUGCUCUCGAAGAGAAGUUUAAUCGUUUAUGGACAGAAUUUAAACGGUGCCGAGGAAAUCUCAACGAAGAGAUUCUUUGUUCCAACCGAGAUUGCCCCAUCUUUUAUAUGAGGACAAAAGUUAGAAAAGAUCUCACGGAACAGGAUAAACUUAUGAAAAGAUUCGGCCUACCCUGACAACCUACCGCUCUCGUCAAUGAUGGUGCAUACAGUCUCGUAGGGGGCUAGUCGCUAGGUGGCCCAGGUGAUGUGCUGAGCUGAGCUGCUGAUGGCAACAUUUAACAUGGCGUCGUAGCGGCUGGUUAUAUCACGGCAGCCGAACGUAGCAGACCUUCCUUUUUGUAGGUGAAAUUCAAGGGAGGAACUGCAAAUGCUCGGCGCCAUCUUGUACGAACGAUGUGGUCUGGCGAACACCUUGCCAAGGUGACCAUGCAUUACCUUCGAGUGUAUUUAAGUUGCAAGUCGGUAGAUUUGCUCCGCAGUUUUGCCGGAUACCAGCAUCCUGCUUCGCGAGAACUACUCUACGUUGUUCUGGGAGGGCUUAGACGAACAUCUGAAUCCGAUUUUGAAGAAGUCUUGCAUCGAUGGACACUGACGAAAUAUAGGAAGCUGCACAUGAAUGUUGGGUAUUUUAUCAUAAGUAGAAUACAGAAAGAUUCUGUAGUAGUAGAUCUCUUUAGUUGGGUAUUGAAAUUGGCUGUGGUGUGUCUGGGGUUCGAUGGGGUCUCAGUUGCAUUUGAUCCUACUUGUUAUUUAUCCCUGCCAAUGCCAGUCGAAAAGGAAGUACCAGUUGACCUGUAUCUGGCUUACAUGGAUCUUUUAGCAGAAAAUUUUCUGCUUUCAAGGGAUUCGAAGAGUUUGCAAAAUAUUAUGUCUCUAGGAUUCCACAGUUUUACGUAAUUCAAUUGACAAGAAAUUUAUACUAAUUCUUGUUUAUUUUUCUAAAGGCAGAUUCGUAAUUAUAAAGAAUUGGGAAAGAAAUUUGAUGGAGGCUCAGUGCCAAAAAAAUUAUGGUAGUUGGAAUGAUUACCGAAGCUCUUCGGAUUCGUUUAUUUCACGCGUUAUGGUAUUUAAAGAAAAUAAACGUGUACCUGGACCCCUUUGUAUCUGUGACCCGAUUUCCUCUCCACUUGUGAUAAUUCUGCAGCGGGUCAUGCAGAUACUGUGAUCAGCAGAGAAGGUUAAAAGUGCGCUGCCCGGAAAGCAAAUUUGGGGUAAAAGAAAAAAACUUAUUCCAACUAGUAAGCCAUUUCCAAAUUCAACCAACAAAAAAGUACACAGUGAAAUUUGCUUGACAAUUACUUCCACGCAUCAUGGUAUUUAUCUAUCAGUUGAAUUGUAUGGUUAAUUUUCUGUUCGUGUAACCUCAUUUUCUCUUGAAUCACCUGCGCCUACGUUGACGAUGAUACCUGUACCGAAGUGCUGGAAACUAAAAUUAAUUUUUCUUACAAUAUGGUUUCAGGCUAUCUUUAUAAUUUUUUAAUAGUUUUGCGUUUAUUGAUGAGUCCACAAGCUCUUAGCUGAUUUCCUCCUUUAGA